RNAcentral lists this long non-coding RNA (366 nucleotides) under Gallus gallus (chicken). Lineage: Eukaryota; Metazoa; Chordata; Aves; Galliformes; Phasianidae. The record is from RNAcentral.
GGACAGAGUGUGAUACUCAUACCAAAAAUCAGUGCCCAAUGAAGCUGCCAUAUAUAUGGUGGAGAUGAGGCUGAGAACACAUGCAAUUACCAGUGCUGUAGCAAAACGGUUAUCCAUCAUUGCUGCUUAGAGCUCCUCAGAUCCAGCAGCAUACGCAGCUCCAGUGGUUGCAGGUGACUUCAGAGACACCGUGCUACCGGCGUCCUGCAGUAAGCCAGAAGCACACACCGCCAACUCCCUGCUGGCCCUAACUGCUCCAUUCAGACCGCUCCAGCAAUGCCAUCGAUGCACAAGCAGCAGCCGCAGCGAACCACCUCCAUCCCCAGCCCCGCGCACCACUUCCGCGCCGCAGCUGCCCCUGGGCCA